UGAGUAAUGUCUGGGAAACUGCCUGAUGGAGGGGGAUAACUACUGGAAACGGUAGCUAAUACCGCAUAACGUCGCAAGACCAAAGAGGGGGACCUUCGGGCCUCUUGCCAUCGGAUGUGCCCAGAUGGGAUUAGCUAGUAGGUGGGGUAACGGGCUCACCUAGGCGACGAUCCCUAGCUGGUCUGAGAGGAUGACCAGCCACACUGGAACUGAGACACGGUCCAGACUCCUACGGGAGGCAGCAUG
RNAcentral lists this ribosomal RNA (246 nucleotides) under uncultured bacterium. Its description in RNAcentral is "partial 16S ribosomal RNA". It matches the Rfam family "Bacterial small subunit ribosomal RNA", at positions 107 to 353 of the family's 1533-position model. The record is from RNAcentral.